This 590-nucleotide ribosomal RNA is filed under the name uncultured bacterium. RNAcentral describes it as "bacterial SSU rRNA". It matches the Rfam family "Bacterial small subunit ribosomal RNA", at positions 335 to 916 of the family's 1533-position model. The record is from RNAcentral.
ACUCCUACGGGAGGCAGCAGUGGGGAAUUUUGGACAAUGGGCGAAAGCCUGAUCCAGCCAUUCCGCGUGAGUGAAGAAGGCCUUCGGGUUGUAAAGCUCUUUCGCAAGGGAAGAAAACUUAUCCUCUAACAUAGGAUGAGGAUGACGGUACCUUGAUAAAAAGCACCGGCUAACUACGUGCCAGCAGCCGCGGUAAUACGUAGGGUGCGAGCGUUAAUCGGAAUUACUGGGCGUAAAGCGUGCGCAGGCGGUUUUGAAAGUCAGAUGUGAAAUCCCCGAGCUCAACUUGGGAACUGCGUUUGAAACUCCAAAGCUAGAGUAUAGGAGAGGGGGGUAGAAUUCCACGUGUAGCAGUGAAAUGCGUAGAGAUGUGGAGGAAUACCAAUGGCGAAGGCAGCCCCCUGGCCUAAUACUGACGCUCAUGCACGAAAGCGUGGGGAGCAAACAGGAUUAGAUACCCUGGUAGUCCACGCCCUAAACGAUGUCUACUAGUUGUUGGUGGAGUAAAAUCCAUUAGUAACGCAGCUAACGCGUGAAGUAGACCGCCUGGGGAGUACGGUCGCAAGAUUAAAACUCAAAGGAAUUGACGG